GGGCCCGUAGCUCAGCAUGGAUCAGAGCGGCGGUGGAUCCAGUCUAAGUCCGCCGAGCCUCCGGAGCCGUAGGACCCGGGUUCAAAUCCCGGCGGGCCCG
RNAcentral lists this transfer RNA (100 nucleotides) under Thermoproteus tenax Kra 1. It matches the Rfam family "tRNA". From Rfam's summary of the family: Transfer RNA (tRNA) molecules are approximately 80 nucleotides in length. The record is from Rfam by way of RNAcentral. Lineage: Archaea; Thermoproteati; Thermoproteota; Thermoprotei; Thermoproteales; Thermoproteaceae.